AUGAAAGGAAACACGAUUUAUUAAUUGUAUCUAAUUUAUUCACCAAAAUUAUCAUAACUAGUCAUAAGACAAUUACAAUAAAGUAGGACGACAAGACCCUCCGAACUUCACUUCAUUUUUCACUGGGAAGGUCAAAAACUAAAUCUUUUUAAACCAUCUAAUAAACGCACCAAAUUGAAAUAAACCAAGUUACCGAAGGGAUAACAGCAUAAUAAUUUAAUAAAGCCCUCAUUAAAUAAAUUGAUUAUGACCUCGAUGUUGAAUUAACAACUCUAUUUACAGAAAAAAGUAGAAAAGAAAGUCUGUUCGACUUUUAAAUUGUUACAU
This 327-nucleotide ribosomal RNA is filed under the name Speocera ballarini. RNAcentral describes it as "partial large subunit ribosomal RNA". Lineage: Eukaryota; Metazoa; Arthropoda; Arachnida; Araneae; Ochyroceratidae. The record is from RNAcentral.